CAGGAAAUAGUUUAGUUAAGAAAAUAUUAAUUUUGGGGAUUAAAGACAAAAGUUUAUUUUUUUCCUGA
Molecule: transfer RNA, 68 nt
Filed under: Linuparus trigonus
Lineage: Eukaryota; Metazoa; Arthropoda; Malacostraca; Decapoda; Palinuridae
Description: tRNA-Pro
Source: RNAcentral